UCCACGCCCUAAACGCUGUCUGCUGGUUUUUGGGAGAAUCGACCCUCUCAGAGACGAAGCUAACGCAUUAAGCAGACCGCCUGGGUAGUACGAGCGCAAGCUUAAAAACUCAAAGGAAUAGACGGGGGCUCGGCACAAGCGGUGGAGCGCGUGGCUUAAUUCGUCGCUAAGCGAAGAACCUUACCAAGGCUAGAUAUCAUACUGCACGCUUCGGGAAACCGAAGAAGCCUUCG
This 233-nucleotide ribosomal RNA is filed under the name uncultured bacterium. Its description in RNAcentral is "partial 16S ribosomal RNA". It matches the Rfam family "Bacterial small subunit ribosomal RNA", at positions 794 to 1021 of the family's 1533-position model. The record is from RNAcentral.